Molecule: RNA transcript, 5663 nt
Organism: Lethenteron reissneri (Far Eastern brook lamprey)
Lineage: Eukaryota; Metazoa; Chordata; Hyperoartia; Petromyzontiformes; Petromyzontidae
Gene name: formin-like protein 2
Source: RefSeq, a predicted model, not a curated record
AAAAUAGGGGAAUAAUCAGAGGGAGGAAAGUCCCCUCCUCCUCCUUCUUCUUACUCGUCCUCAAGCCCGGUGGCGUUUUUAUUUAUUACAGACGAGCGCGGUGGCACACGGGAUGUAUUUGCUGCGACUGCUGUGUUGAGUUUCGACUUUCCACAUCUCGUUCGCCAUGGGGCUGAGUAACAGCUCGCAAGGCCGCGUGGGCCACGACCUCAGGUCCCAUGCCAUGCCCAUCGCCCUGCCCAUGCCCGAGCCCGGCGAGUUAGAAGACAAAUUCUCGCAAGUCCUGAGCUCGAUGAAUUUGCCGCCUGACAAGGCGCGACUCCUGCGUCAGUACGAUGACGAGAAGAAGUGGGAGCUGAUCCGCGACAAGGAGAAAGUCCAAGUGAAAAACCCUCCGCACAUCUACAUCGAGAAAUUGCGCAGCUACUACAGCGACCCGGAGAUCGACAACAAAAAAUUCAGGCGGAGGGUGAACGAGUCCACGCAGGUUUUACGCGAGCUCGAGAUAUCGCUCAGAACCAACUACAUUGGAUGGGUGCGAGAGUUCCUGAACGAAGAGAACAAUGGGCUGGAGGUGCUGAUGGAGUACCUGGCGUUUGCGCAGUACGCCGUCACGUGCGACGUCGAGGGGGAUGAGAACGUGGCUCUGCUCUCGAGGAACGGGCUGGCGUCGCCGAAAGAGCUCCGCCGGUCGCUCAAGCAGAGGGGCUCCCUGCCCGGCAGGCAGCGAUCUUCCUCCAGCGCGUCCAGCACAUUGGCAGCAGCGCGGUCGUCACGAGCCGCGAGCCUUAGCAACAUUCGCUACAAGACUCUGCGAAACUCGUGGCUCGUGAGCCAAAAGGACGACGUCCACCUGUGCAUCAUGUGUCUCCGCGCCAUCAUGAACUACCAGUACGGCUUCGAGAAGGUGCUGUCACACCCGCAGUGUGUCAACGAGAUUGCACUCAGCUUAAACAACAAAAAUCAAAGGACGAGGACGCUGGUGCUGGAGCUGCUUGCCGCCGUGUGCCUGGUGAGGGGCGAGGGCCACGAGACCACUCUUGCCGCCUUCGACAACUUCAAGGAGGUCUGCAAGGAACGGCAUCGGUUUGAGCGACUGUUGACUUAUUUCAAAGAUGACGAAUCCAGCAUGGACUUUAUGGUGGCCUGCAUGCAGUUCAUCAACAUUGUGGUGCACUCGGUAGAACACAUGAACUACAGGGUUCACCUGCAGUACGAGUUCACGAAACUGGGCAUGGACGAAUACCUGGAGAAAUUGAAGAAGACCGAGAGCGAGAAGCUGCAGGUGCAGAUCCAGGCGUACCUGGACAAUGUGUUCGACGUGGCCGUGCUCGUGGACGACGCCGAAACGAAGAAUGCGGCGGUGGAGCGUGUGCAGCAGCUCAACGAGCAAGUGUCGCACCUUCAAGAAAACUUGCAGGAACAGGAGGAUGCGGCAGUCUCGAGGAUUGUGGAGCUGGAGAAGAAACUGCUGAAUUACUGCAAGGAAGUUGAAAAGCUCCAGGUCUCCUUGAAGGAGGAGCGGGGUCAGGUGUCCACCUUGCGCCACUCCGUCAAAGAGAAGGACCUGGCCCUGCGCCGACAGUCGGAGCUGGAGAAGAGGCUGGAGGAGAUGGAGGCUCAUCGCUCCAGCAUGGUGCUGUCCCAGGAUGGGCUGCCAUCCUCCCUGCUCGCUCUCCCCAGCGCUGACACUGCCUCAACCCCUGCCUCCGAUCGAGCAUCGGAAGCGCCGACACCACUGCUGGUCUCAGGCCCACCUGCUCCCCCACCACCGCCGCCGCCACCACCACCUCCCCCGGGGGUCUCCCAGGAUCUCCCGCCGCCCCCUCCUCCUCCGCCACCCGGCAUGGGAAAGGCUUUUCAACUGUCCAAGGGGGCGCCUCGCCACGGAGCGUUCAACAGUCCCACUGUGCCAGGAGGCAUGCGCAUCAAGAAAGCCAUCCCCACCAAGUACCGUCUGCCUGUGUUCAACUGGACGGCGCUAAAGCCCUCCCAGGUUAACGGCACCGUCUUCACAGACAUGGAUGACGAGGAGCUGUUGCAGGUUCUGGAUAUGGACUCGUUCGAGGAGCUCUUCAAGACGAAGGCGCAGGGCCCGGUGGCGACAAUCCAGGUGGACGGGCCACGGUGCGACGCCGCCCAGCCGAAGGUGGCGCCCAAGGUGUCGCUCCUGGACGCGAACCGCGCCCGCAACCUGGCCAUUACGCUGCGCAAGACGUCACGCUCGCACGGGGAGAUCUGCAAAGCCGUGCAGACGUACGACCUGCAGAAGCUGCCGGUGGAGCGGCUCGAGUGCCUGCAGCGCUUUGUGCCCACCGAGUCGGAGGCGUUGCUCCUGCGCCAGUACGAGCGUGACCUGCGUUCCCCCGAGGACCUGGCGGAGGAGGAGCGCUUCAUGCUGCAGUUUGGCCGCGUCGAGCGUCUGUCCCAGCGCAUCACCGUCAUGCUCUUCAUGGGCAACUUCAUGGACACGGUGUCACGCCUCACUCCGUUUGUGAAUGCGAUAAUAGCAGCGUCGCUGUCUAUAAAGUCCUCUCAGAAGUUCAAAAAGAUCCUGGAGCUUGUCCUGGCGUUUGGAAACUACAUGAACAGCAGCAAGAGGGGGGUGGCAUACGGGUUCAAGCUGCAGAGUCUGGACCUCCUCGGGGACACCAAGUCGACGGACAGGAAGUUGACGCUGCUGCACUACCUGGCCGACGUGGUGCACGCCAAGUUCCCCGAGGUGGCCUCCUUCUACUGCGACCUCUGCUUCCUUGACAAGGCCGCAGCAGUGUCGAUGGACAGCGUGAUGCAGGACGUGCGUGAGCUGCAGCGCGGCAUGGAGACCACCAAGCGCGAGGCUGCCCUGCACGAGUCCAACGUUGGCCUGCGCCGCUUCAUUGAGGCCAACGAUGACACGCUGAGCCGCCUCGUCGGCGAUGCCAACACCGCCAAGGAUGCCUUUCAGGUGGCCGUGGAAUACUUUGGCGAAACUCCCAAGACGAUGCCUCCUUCCAACUUCUUCCCGGUGUUCUCCCGAUUUGUGAAUGCGUUCAAGAAAGCGGAAAAGGAGAAUGAGUCGAGACGCUUGCAGGAGGAGAAAAAACAGAUGCUGGAGGAGGCAGCCAAGGAGGAGAAAAAUAUGUCGGCAAACGACAAGGGUAAGCGUCAGCAGAUGAAUCUCAUCGCCGAGCUGACCAAGAAGCAGGGCAACAAGCGCACGAUGUACGAGGGCAAGGAUGGCGCCAUUGACUCCAUCAUCACAGCUGCUGUGGUUCCGCUCCACGGCCGCCUGGCUCCUGUCCGUGCGCGCGGGGCCUGAUGUUGGGGCGAAGCGUUCUCAAAAACCCCUUCCGGCACAGCUCGCUUCUUCUUCUGAUUCUUCUACUUCCCUAUCACCACUUUCCUGACCAGACCUGAGGAAGCAGCCGUUCCGCCGCACUGUGCGUAAGAAGAGCGAGGAAGCCACCAGCCCCACGGCCUACUCCACUGAUGUGUGAAGCCCGCGCGCUGCUGCCACCGCUGCCACCACCGCUGCGCUUCCUUACCACGACCAGACUCGUUGUUGUACGUCGUCUGUGCCCUCUACAAUUUACGGACCUCCCCACUUGAAGCCCUUCUGCGACAAGCAAACGUGAACUAUUCAAACGAAUCCGUAAUUUGACCACUGUGCUCCUGAGCCAUCGACUGGGCCCGCAGAGUUGUGCAGUAAGCGCGGUUGGCUGCCAUCAGCCAGAGUCGUCUGGAUGGUGUCCCGUGGUCCAACUAUUGCACUCCAGGUUGGAUAAAGCAUGUCCGUGGGGGGCACUUCCAGUAAUUCGGGAAGCACAAUACAAAUUCAUCGUUUAAAGUUGUGGGCAGAAAUCCGCUUGGCUCAUCAUCUCUCCAGGUUCUGUAAAUGUAUGGCCACUUUUGGAUGUGAUUGUGGAAUUUUAUCCACCGGCUCAGGAUGGACAAUGGAGAUUAGUACCAACGCAAUGCUCGUUUGAGAGCAUUUUGGAGAAAUUGGCCAAAGAUAAACGUGGGCGCUUGUUUCUGUAAGGCUCAGCUUGUUUGAGAUCGGCCACAGUAGGACGUCAACUUUUUCAUGACAAAUUUUAUAGCACGAGUCCGUAUAAAUUGUCAUGGCGAGGUAUUUAAAGGGGCUUUUAUGAACAUGCAACUCGAGUGCAAAAAGGCUUACCUGGUAAAAUACCCAAGCAAUAUUCCUGCUGUCACUCAGUAGAGUAUAUUUUUUUAGAUUAAAACAGUGCACCUGAAUUUUUCCCAUUGAAUGAAUGAACAACUUUGGUUUCAUAUUGCACCUUGAACAGUUAAUAUAUUUGGCAGCUCUUUUUCAAUACAGGAUGGUCUUCACACUAAAUUGACUUUCGCCUUUGGAAUGCCUGUGCAUUCAUUCGUUGACCUGUAAUAGGUGACAUUGCAAUCGUCUGGUCUCAGCGCUAAAAUUAGAAUGCAUCUUAACAAAUUAAUCUUUUAGUUUCAUAGCAGCAAAUUAAAAGUUCGGCAUGAAGGCAAUGUGAAUUCCUAAUAGUCCAAUAUGCUGUAUUUAUGUGCUUGAUGUGCAAGCUUUGGUCCAUGUGAAUUGCAUAAAACAACGGCCCAUUUAGUUAAAAAGGUUAUUGUCUAAUGCUGCACUUUUCAUGGUUAACUGUAUUUUGUAUAUUUUUGGUGAUGCGUAUUUUGUUAUAUAUAAUGCUGCCAUUUUAAAGUGUUUAUAUUAUGACUUAAAAAAUAUUGGAUUUUAUUUUUGUCAAUUGUUUUAGUUUUGGCUUUACAGUGUAUAUUUUUUUUACAGAACAAUUGUCCAUACCACACGAGUGCCUUAUGUCUUGCGUUUUCAAUAGCUUUAUGAAAGAUGAAAAUUGCACUAUAUAUUAAUUGACGUUUAACAAACUCUUGUCCUCGAAGACCUCACAGGGCAGCGUUGACUCGCAUAUUAAUGAUAAGGGUCCCUCAUUAGUCUCCACUACCAACCAUCGUACUAUCGACGUGUCCUGCGCAAGCCCCCACUUGUCUUGACAGUCAAUAUGGUUUGCCCACCAUGCACAAUUCACUAACAAUAACGGAGUUGCAACCGACGCGGAGGGUACCAGAGAUGGAGCGAUGUAAUCAGCUCGUGCUAGAUGUGGUACAACAGUUUCACAUGUCAUGCUUAGCUGUGGGGAGUGGUAGCGGAGCGCGCCAACUACGAACCCGGCGACCCGAGUUCGAUUCCCGCUUACGGCCACCAACACCAGCCACGAUUAUCUGAACCGGUCCUGGCCCUCGUCUAAGUCGACUCAGCCUCAAAUGAGUAUCUGGUGUGGUGUGUAAAGAUCACCACUAGGGAGACAAAGGUGGCCGGGCGUUGUGCUGGCCACCCACCCCCUCGUGUGCUGUGCCGGCCUUCAUAGGUGGUCACGAACAGCACUUGUCUCUAAAAUGUUUUGGCUAUAUGGGGGAUCUUGUCUUUGUCACAACAAUGGCCUGGGUGAGGCCUUUAUCCAGCAGUGAAUUGAUUAUGGAGGGUGAUGAUGAUGGAGAAGAUCAGGAGUUGGGAAGGCUGCAUCGUGGUGGGCCCGCGAGGACUGGAGUUUGAGAAACUCGGCUAUCGACCAUAGAAAGCUUAAACGCCUCGUAGAAACGAACUCAAAUGGCCAAAUCAGAAAUAUUCAGAUACGUAAUAAACAUUCAUUUUUCAA